This 229-nucleotide ribosomal RNA is filed under the name uncultured bacterium. RNAcentral's name for it is "partial 16S ribosomal RNA". It matches the Rfam family "Bacterial small subunit ribosomal RNA", at positions 568 to 796 of the family's 1533-position model. The record is from RNAcentral.
UGCGUAGGCGGAUUGAUAAGUCAGUGGUGAAAACCUUCAGCUUAACUGGAAACUUGCCAUUGAUACUGUUAGUCUUGAGUACGGUCAAGGUAGGCGGAAUGUGUAAUGUAGCGGUGAAAUGCUUAGAUAUUACACAGAACACCGAUUGCGAAGGCAGCUUACUGGGCCAUUACUGACGCUGAGGCACGAAAGCGUGGGGAGCGAACAGGAUUAGAUACCCUGGUAGUCC